ACUAAAACCCUAACUACUUAAACUCAGCAUCUUCACUCAAAUCUCCUUACUUCUUUCGCUUCUCUCACUCUCACCAGUUGCCUCCACCACUACUCAGUACUCACCGUCGAACCACCUCCAUCACCACCUCUCCAUCGAGAGCACUACCACCUCUAAAAGACUGAGAGGAGCAGCAGGAGUUCUUCAUCUGUAUAGUUGCGUUAAGACUUUGAGGAGCAGGGGACUGCCACCGGAUACAGCUGUAUUGUCAGAGAAGUCGAUACCAAUGAUGGGAAGAUUAAAGUUGUAGUUGUUGUUGCUGCUGCCUUUGAACCUGAAACGAUACAGGUGCAUGAACUCGAAGGGCUGUGCUGGGAGCAAGCGUUAAACACGGGCUUAAGUGCAUCAAGGUAACUUGCUAUUGUACUUCAGCAAUUUAUCAAGUUAAAAAGGAAUUAGCCGUGAAGAGAAAAAUAGGAAAGAACAAUAAGUAUUCAAGGCACAUGAAAGAUUUGAUUAAUCGUAUUAUUAUACUAGAUUCAGAAGUAGACUAUUCUGAGAUAGUGCAUAUGUAUUGAGGUGCCAAAGAGGUGGACAACGGAUUCUAUACAUAUGCAUUAUCUCAGAAUAGUCUACUUCUGAAUCUAGUCUAAUUCAUGUGCCUUGAGUACUUAUUGUUCUUUCCUAUUUUUUUUUCACGACUAAUCCCUUUUUUACUUGAUAAAUUGCUGAAUUACAAUCGCUAGUUACCUUGAUGCGCUUAAGCCCGUGUUUAACAGCUUGUUCCCAACCACAGCACAGCCCUUCGAGUUCAUGCACCUGUGUCGUUUCACAUAAGAUUUUGAAAUGAAUGGGGAACUGAUACAUUUAGGGGGAUUUCUCAUAACUGAUGCGGAUGGCACACCCUACAAUCCAGAAGGAAUUUGAUUUUGAAUCUGCUCAUACUCAAAUAGAACCAGCUACAAACUUGCAAGAAUGAGUCGGAUUCACAGAAACCUCUGGGUUGUCAACUGUAAUAGUCUGUAAAUAGUAAUCGCUAACUCUCUUUUUGUGAAACCCCUUUCUGGGUUCUAGCUUAUAGAUCUUGGUUUCUCUUCGGGGGUGAUUUCCUCGUGGUCCACAGAAAUGCUACAUUAAGACUAGAUUUCAAAGCACAAUUCUGUUGAAUCCAAAAAUCUUUUUAACUAUAAUCCUUUGGAAAUUUUAAACUGGUGAUAUAAUCUCUUUCUUAAUUUUUCUUCUUGUUUUUAUCAGCUCUGGUAUUUUCAUGAUUUAAAAUUUUGUUCAAGGAUGGCGAGGCACUAACCCUUGUUUUUGCAGUGUAACCUUGUUUUGUGAUAGUGGUGCUUUUCAUCCUAAACUAUUAGAUCCGAAAUCUAAGCAAUUCGCGCAUAUUCUCAGGAAUAAAAUAGAAUAAAAAUCAAAAGGACCAUUUAGGGAUAUCUUGUCUGCAAUCUCCCAAUCCCAAAUAUCAAACAUUCAAAAACUCGGAAAUGGUCAUCUCCCUAGGAAUUAAACCAAAACCAUUACUACUUACCAUUUAUCCCCUAAUAGCAGAAGAGAAAGUUCAAAUGGCUGCUAAUGGAAAUCACUCGGAUGAAGGUCAAAGGAACGCUGCAAAUAAGUUGACUAAAACCGGACCUGGAGGUGAUCGUGGCAGAGGUUCAACUUGACCAGCUGCUGCUUCUACUAUCACCGCUGCAUCAAGAGGAGGUCAUGACAGGUGGGUUUAGAGGAGGUCGUGGCAGAGCUG
Long non-coding RNA from Papaver somniferum (opium poppy), 1732 nucleotides. RefSeq lists it as uncharacterized. The record is from RefSeq and is a predicted model, not a curated record. NCBI's taxonomy places the organism in Eukaryota, Viridiplantae, Streptophyta, Magnoliopsida, Ranunculales, Papaveraceae. The transcript has 4 exons.